RNAcentral lists this transfer RNA (84 nucleotides) under Teyleria tetragona. Its description in RNAcentral is "tRNA-Tyr". Lineage: Eukaryota; Viridiplantae; Streptophyta; Magnoliopsida; Fabales; Fabaceae. The record is from RNAcentral.
AAUGAUUUUCAAAAACUUGUUGAUCUCUAUCCUUAUUACCCAAUUGCCAGAUUGAUUAUCGUUUUUUAUUUCCCGGCUUAGUAU